GUGAACGCUGGCGGUAGGCCUAACACAUGCAAGUCGAACGGCAGCACCGGAGAGCUUGCUCUCUGGGUGGCGAGUGGCGGCCGGGUGAGGAAUACAUCGGAAUCUGCCCAGUCGUGGGGGAUAACGUAGGGAAACUUACGCUAAUACCGCAUACGACCUUCGGGUGAAAGAGGGGGAUCGCAAGACCUCUCGCGAUUGGAUGAGCCGAUGUCGGAUUAGCUAGUUGGCGGGGUAAUGGCCCACCAAGGCGACGAUCCGUAGCUGGUCUGAGAGGAUGAUCAGCCACACUGGAACUGAGACACGGUCCAGACUCCUACGGGAGGCAGCAGUGGGGAAUAUUGGACAAUGGGCGCAAGCCUGAUCCAGCCAUACCGCGUGGGUGAAGAAGGCCUUCGGGUUGUAAAGCCCUUUUGUUGGGAAAGAAAUCUUUCAGGCUAAUACCCUGGGAGGAUGACGGUACCCAAAGAAUAAGCACCGGCUAACUUCGUG
RNAcentral lists this ribosomal RNA (489 nucleotides) under uncultured bacterium. Its description in RNAcentral is "partial 16S ribosomal RNA". It matches the Rfam family "Bacterial small subunit ribosomal RNA", at positions 29 to 507 of the family's 1533-position model. The record is from RNAcentral.